RNAcentral lists this ribosomal RNA (268 nucleotides) under uncultured bacterium. RNAcentral describes it as "partial 16S ribosomal RNA". It matches the Rfam family "Bacterial small subunit ribosomal RNA", at positions 334 to 619 of the family's 1533-position model. The record is from RNAcentral.
CGCACCUACGGGGGGCAGCAGUGGGGAAUAUUGCACAAUGGGGGAAACCCUGAUGCAGCAACGCCGCGUGGGUGAAGAAGUAUUUCGGUAUGUAAAGCUCUAUCAGCAGGGAAGAAGAUGACGGUACCUGAUUAAGAAGCCCCGGCUAACUACGUGCCAGCAGCCGCGGUAAUACGUAGGGGGCAAGCGUUAUCCGGAUUUACUGGGGGUAAAGGGAGCGCAGACGGCAGCGCAAGUCUGAAGUGAAAGCCCGGGGCUCAACCCCGGG